AGAUUGAACGCUGGCGGCAGGCCUAACACAUGCAAGUCGAGCGGUAGAGGGGUGCUUGCAUCUCUUGAGAGCGGCGGACGGGUGAGUAAUGCCCAGGAAUCUGCCUAGUGGUGGGGGAUAACGUUCGGAAACGGACGCUAAUACCGCAUACGUCCUACGGGAGAAAGCGGGGGACCUUCGGGCCUCGCGCCAUUAGAUGAGCCUAGGUCGGAUUAGCUAGUUGGUGAGGUAAUGGCUCACCAAGGCGACGACUCCGUAACUGGUCUGAGAGGAUGAUCAGUCACACUGGAACUGAGACACGGUCCAGACCUCCUACGGGAGCAGCAGUGGGGGAAAUAGUUGG
Molecule: ribosomal RNA, 343 nt
Filed under: uncultured soil bacterium
Lineage: Bacteria
Description: bacterial SSU rRNA
Rfam family: Bacterial small subunit ribosomal RNA
Source: RNAcentral